RNAcentral lists this ribosomal RNA (264 nucleotides) under uncultured bacterium. Its description in RNAcentral is "partial 16S ribosomal RNA". It matches the Rfam family "Bacterial small subunit ribosomal RNA", at positions 793 to 1055 of the family's 1533-position model. The record is from RNAcentral.
GUCCACGCCUUAAACGAUGAUUACUAGGUGUUCGAUGGAUUAACCCAUUGAGUACCAAAGCUCACGCAUUAAGUAAUCCGCCUGGGGAGUACGGUCGCAAGGCUAAAACUCAAAGGAAUUGACGGGGGCCCGCACAAGCGGUGGAGUAUGUGGUUUAAUUCGAAGCAACGCGAAGAACCUUACCUAGCCUUGACAUCCCUUGACCGCUGCAGAGAUGUAGCUUUCCCUUCGGGGACAAGGAGACAGGUGCUGCAUGGCUGUCGU